CAUCCGGUGGGCAAAAAGCCCAGACUGCUGGACACUGUGACCCCAGCAAGUACUACAUCCUAGUAGGGACAGUAGCAGCCUCAGCUUUGCUUCUGCUUGGGGCAGUGUCUGUGUAUCUAGUCUUGCAUCAGCUGCUGAAGAGAGAGAGGAGGAGCCAGGAGGACAAAGAGGCAAGAGGACAGGACUGGGACUCUUCCUGGGAAAGCUGUGGUCAGCCUAGAGGUGAAGCAGAGUCAGGAGAAGGAGCGGCAAGCGGCGAGAGAGCCCAAGGCAAGGGCUUCAGGGACAGCUGCCGCCUGUUUCCUGAGCUCUUUGCAGCAGAGCUCGCCCAGCGCUACAAGAACAUGGGCGCAGACCCGUCACCUCUGCCCACCUGCUCCUUCUGUGCUCUGGCUGACAACGCCUCUUCACGGGACCACUGGAUUUCCCUGGAGUCACCUCAGCCCACAGCAUCCUCUUGCCCCUCCUACCAAUACCAGCAGGACUAUUAUCUGUUAGAGGAGGAUGAUUAGUGAUAGUGAGAGAUGAUUAGUGAUAGUGAUAGUGAUAGUGAUAAAUAGUGAUAGUGCUAGUGAUUCUUUUAGGGAUAGUGGUAGGGAUACCUGAUAUUAGAGGGUGGUGGUUGUUUUAAUGAUAGUGUUAGUUAAUAUUAGAGGAUAGUGAUUGUUUUAAGGAUAGCGUUACUUGAUAUUAGAGGAGGGUAAUUGUAUUAGUGAUAGUGAUAGUGAUACAUAGUGAUAGUGGUAGUGAUAAAUAGUGAUAGUGGUAGUGAUUCUUUUAGGGAUAGUGGUAGGGAUACUUGAUAUUAGAGGGUGGUGGUUGUUUUAAUGAUAGUGAUAGUUAAUAGUAUAGUGAUUGUUUUAAUGAUAGCGUUAUUUGAUAUUGGAGGACAGCGAUUGUAUUAGCGAUAGUGAUAGUUAAUAUUAGAGGAUGGUGAUUGUUUUAGUGAUAGUGGUACAUAUAGUGAUCGUGAUACUUGGUAUUAGCAGAUAAUGAUUGUUUUCUUGAUAUUGAUAAAUAAAUAUGUUUCCAAAAGCAGUAAA
Long non-coding RNA from Passer domesticus (house sparrow), 1043 nucleotides. RefSeq lists it as uncharacterized. NCBI's taxonomy places the organism in Eukaryota, Metazoa, Chordata, Aves, Passeriformes, Passeridae. The record is from RefSeq and is a predicted model, not a curated record. The transcript has 2 exons.